Molecule: ribosomal RNA, 380 nt
Filed under: Acinetobacter baumannii Naval-81
Lineage: Bacteria; Pseudomonadati; Pseudomonadota; Gammaproteobacteria; Moraxellales; Moraxellaceae
Description: bacterial SSU rRNA
Rfam family: Bacterial small subunit ribosomal RNA
Source: RNAcentral
AUGCAAGUCGAGCGGGGGAAGGUAGCUUGCUACCGGACCUAGCGGCGGACGGGUGAGUAAUGCUUAGGAAUCUGCCUAUUAGUGGGGGACAACAUCUCGAAAGGGAUGCUAAUACCGCAUACGUCCUACGGGAGAAAGCAGGGGAUCUUCGGACCUUGCGCUAAUAGAUGAGCCUAAGUCGGAUUAGCUAGUUGGUGGGGUAAAGGCCUACCAAGGCGACGAUCUGUAGCGGGUCUGAGAGGAUGAUCCGCCACACUGGGACUGAGACACGGCCCAGACUCCUACGGGAGGCAGCAGUGGGGAAUAUUGGACAAUGGGGGGAACCCUGAUCCAGCCAUGCCGCGUGUGUGAAGAAGGCCUUAUGGUUGUAAAGCACUUUA